This is a non-coding RNA of Punica granatum (pomegranate), 1136 nucleotides long. Lineage: Eukaryota; Viridiplantae; Streptophyta; Magnoliopsida; Myrtales; Lythraceae. The record is from RefSeq and is a predicted model, not a curated record.
UCGAGCCAUUGCUUUCUUUCUAAGUUAGCAUUUUGCAAUACCCUUCCAUGACUGAGAGGAAACUCCAAAGAUGAUAAUUGCCAAGCUUUAAUCAUUCUUGACCCACCAUUAAUGGACUCUUGACACUGACACGGAUGCCACCCGACUCUAUUGAUCUAAUCCUUUUCAUGUGUCAACAAACGCAUGAGAUGAAGUUGUUGGCAACUUUAAUGCGGUGUUCUGACCCCGUCCUUCCUAUAUUUGAUGUGUCGGUAUAGAAAUAAGUCGCUCUGAUAAGCUUCUGGAUUAUGGUUUAAGAAUCGCAGGCAGUUGAUGUCCUCUAGGAGGCAAAGUUUUGCAAAUUUGUUGCAAUCUGAAGCAUCCGGACCAGGAAAAACGAGUGGUCUAAAAGAAAUGGAUUCCUCUCCAUUUUGGUCUGAUCGGGUACGAACUAGAAGACGUGGAUAAACAAUUCUCAGAGCCACUGUAAUCCAAGAUCACAUAUACCGGAUUGAGCAAAUACAACAGUUUCCUCUCCAUACGUUUUGACUCACGUAGAUCGCAACAACAGUGCUUCUUAUCAAUCUCAAUCUUUUGAUCAGACACUAGACGAUGAUCAAUACUUAAGGGACCAGUUAUUGUUAUGGAAUAAGGUUGGAGUGGGAUAAUUACCGGUGGUAUAACCUAACGGCAGUAGCAGAAGGGCUUCCAGCACCGGCCACAGGGGACCGGGCCAUAGAACUUCCGGGGCUUGUCCAAGGAUGACAGGUAGUGCACGAUUGCAAGUAUCACGAUCGGAACAGCCAAGAGCCCCCAGUUGAUGUUUAUCUCAGGAGCUUCAAAUAGCGAGUCGAAGGCCAGCAACUUCGAGAGCGCGAUGAAGAUGGCGGUUAUGAGCAAGAAUAGUAAAACCGUGUGCGGCAUGGGACCGGGGCUUGGAGGAGGGUGCUUACAUUUGUAGCAGUAGCAAUAACCCAUGAAGGUUUUCCUUGGUUCUUCCUCGGAGGAGAGAAAAGUCACAGGCUAUAUACAGUGAAGAAUUAAGAAAGACAAUCUGGUCCUUGGGGCUCAAAGAUGUCUCUGUAUUAUGAUAUUUAUAGCAAAGUUAGGAGGCUAAUGGCCUGUCAACAUCCAUUGAAACUGUUCCAUUUCUACAA